Molecule: transfer RNA, 71 nt
Filed under: Thermanaerothrix daxensis
Lineage: Bacteria; Bacillati; Chloroflexota; Anaerolineae; Anaerolineales; Anaerolineaceae
Also listed under: 5 other names
Rfam family: tRNA
About the family: Transfer RNA (tRNA) molecules are approximately 80 nucleotides in length. Their secondary structure includes four short double-helical elements and three loops (D, anti-codon, and T loops). Further hydrogen bonds mediate the characteristic L-shaped molecular structure. tRNAs have two regions of fundamental functional importance: the anti-codon, which is responsible for specific mRNA codon recognition, and the 3' end, to which the tRNAs corresponding amino acid is attached (by aminoacyl-tRNA synthetases). tRNAs cope with the degeneracy of the genetic code in two manners: having more than one tRNA (with a specific anti-codon) for a particular amino acid; and 'wobble' base-pairing, i.e. permitting non-standard base-pairing at the 3rd anti-codon position.
Source: Rfam by way of RNAcentral
UGGGGGCUCGUCUAAUGGCAGGACAGCAGACUCUGGAUCUGCGUGUGGUGGUUCGAAUCCAUCGCCCCCAG